CUGGGUGGAUGAGUGGCGAACGGGUGAGUAACACGUGAGUAACCUGCCCCUUCUUUGGGAUAACGCCCGGAAACGGGUGCUAAUACUGGAUAUUCACUGGCCUUCGCAUGGGGGUUGGUGGAAAGGUUUUUUCUGGUGGGGGAUGGGCUCGCGGCCUAUCAGCUUGUUGGUGGGGUGAUGGCCUACCAAGGCUUUGACGGGUAGCCGGCCUGAGAGGGUGACCGGUCACAUUGGGACUGAGAUACGGCCCAG
RNAcentral lists this ribosomal RNA (252 nucleotides) under uncultured bacterium. RNAcentral's name for it is "partial 16S ribosomal RNA". It matches the Rfam family "Bacterial small subunit ribosomal RNA", at positions 83 to 334 of the family's 1533-position model. The record is from RNAcentral.